This 6112-nucleotide long non-coding RNA is filed under the name Sus scrofa (pig). RNAcentral's name for it is "lncRNA (ENSSSCG00060051569.1)". Lineage: Eukaryota; Metazoa; Chordata; Mammalia; Artiodactyla; Suidae. The record is from RNAcentral.
AUACAGAAGGAGAAAAAAGAGAGAGAUGGAGGCAUUUUUGUGUCCCAACUUGGGCAGGUGAAACUUGAAACUUUUACUUUUAGUUCAUGACAGGAAAACUUCCCUACACGGAGUUCCCUGGUGGCACAGCAGGUUAAGGACCCAGUGCUGUCACUGCUAUGGCUUGAGUUGGAUCCCUGGCCCUAGAACAACUCUGCAUGCUUUGGGCAUGGCCAACAAAAUAAAACAAACAACAAAACAAAACAAAAAACAGAAACAGAAGAAAUUCCCUCCAGCAGGGGACUGACCCAGAUCCCAGUGGCAGCAGGGUGACAUCAUACCUAAACAUCAAUCCGAUGGAACAGGAAGGAUUUGAGAUCUAUAACCAAAUUACUACCUUGGAACUUUGUGCUUGUUAUGCUAAUAUAAGGACUUCCGUACUACAAGUAUGUUUUCAGAGCUGGAAAUUAGCUUUUUAGAAUGCUUUGUGUAAUGACAGACAUUGGACAGAGGAGACAAAUGUGCCAGCAAUGGUGGUACAAUACUCCUGGCAAACACCCUGGACUAUUUUAACAGAUAAAUGGACACCCAGAUAGUAUGUUCAUAAAAUUAAUCUGAGAGCAAGCUCGGGGGACUGGGUGAGAAAACAGGUGCUGCCAGAUCACUGCCGUGGUGAAGGUGCUCUUGCAACCCCCCACCUUUUCUUUCAGACUUAGUUGAUUAGCACCAUCCAUUUCUUGUCCCUCCGGGUAGAUAGAUGCCUAGGGAGAAACAUAAGAGAAAAGCAUUUCUUUUUUCUUUCUCAUGUGUCUUUUUAGGGCCGCACCUGUGGCAUAUGGAAGUUCCCAGGCUAGGGGUCAAAUCUGAGCUGCAGCUGCCAGCCUGCACCACAGUCACAGUCACAGCCACAGCCACAGCCACAACAACACAGGAUCAGAGUGAAGUCUGUGACCUACAGCACAGCUAAUGUCAAUGCAGGAUCCUUAACCCACUGAGCUAGGCCAGGGAUUGAGCCCGAAACCUCACAGAUACUAGUCGGGUUCAUUACUGCUGAGCCACAUUGGGAACUAAAUAGAGAAGUAUUUCAUAAAUAGUACUGCAAACACACUGCUACCUCCAGCUAAUGGUUUGUGUACUCUUAAACUUAGACUGAAGACAGUAAGGGAAAGAAAUAUUUUCAAUGAGGGGUUGGAGGUGGAGUGGGGGGGUAUGUAAGUAUAGAGAGAAAUUAACAACUUAAAAUUUUAGAGCCGUGUAUACAUUGGGGUUGUCCAAUAUAUCUCCUGUGUCCAGUGUAUCAUACUCUGCACUGUGAUUAAGAAUUCAGGCAAAUCCUCAAAAUUGUGGCAUUGACCUCAUGUGGUUUAUGUCUUGAGAGUCAAGGCUAAGAUAUUGAAGGCACCAUAUUUCUAAAUAAUAAUAAUAAUAAUUAUAACAAUUAGUUCAGUGUAUAAGGCUGGGAUAAGAGCAAUCAUUUCUCAUAAUUGUAAAUAAGGUAAAUUCACACACUGAACAAGUACUCAAGAAGAGAACUCUUUUUUAUCAGUUACCUGCUCUUUAUAGACAGCUUGGUUAUUGUGUGCCUAUUUCUUCUCCUCCAGCUCCCCGCCUUCCCCCGCUGCUACCCACUAUGACAGUUACUUUAGAAAUAAGUGACUUGGUUCCUGGAUGGAUUUCCAGCCCUUCUGCAUGACACAGGUUCCAAAUGUCAAAUUGCAACUAUGGAGAAGCCUGUGAACUAUGAUAAUGGAUAAACUCGUGUGUGUUAACAGUCCUGUUUGGUGCUAGAGCAGGGUUGCCAAGACAUAGUCUGAAUGAGUUGGGGGUUUCUGAGAUCUUGUAAAAUGAGGCCAAUUUGAAAUGUUGGCACUGAAUGCUGAGCUUUUUAUAAUAGCCCACGUUGUCCCAUUUUCUUCUAGAGUUGAAUAGGAACAAAAUACCUGGCUUCAUGCAGUGGUUCUCUGAUGACAAAUGAACUAAUUAGAGGUGGUGUUUCUUAGUUCAUCCCAAAGAUCUUAGCCUAGCCGUGGAAGAUGUGGGAAAUGCAGGCUCUGAUAGCUUUAGUUUUAGAAAAGACAACUUUUAACAUCUGAAACUGUCUCCCCUAGCUCUCUACUAUCUGAUCCCCUCUAGCAUUUUCUUUGUAUAGAUGGGUCCAGGUAGGCUAAGGGUAACUGUACUAUUUAAUACAUUAACUCAAUGACAGAGCAAAUCUAUUAAACAGAUUACCUUUCACCUUUGGUGUGUAAAGAAGUCUUCGUAUGCCAAGGUCAUGAGGCCUCUUAGCAAAGUUCCUGUGAGAGAAAUUAACAUUUUUAUCACAUAAUCUAAUCUAUCAAGUGGAGUAGAUUCCAAGGUAAGUCCAUCUAGUACUGCUUUUUUUUUUUUCCUUUAAAAAAGGCCAGCAGUGAAAGAAGUCAUUGAAUUAAAAGUGCUAUAUGAAAAAUAAAAGGGGAGAGAAUACAGAUAAGGAAGGUUUACAUCUUCAUGCUCUUGUAGGAUAUGGCAGUAUUUGUAGGUGGCAGAUUGUAGAGAGAAGGCCAUAAAGGCAACUACAGUGACAUUGAGGCAGAGAAAAAGCUUGCUGGAGAUUAUGGGUUCCUGUUACUUAUGAUCAGAUGCCUUUCAGUUACUUUUGAGGUGAAGGAUUUAUACACUGCAGAAAUCCUGAUCACAUUGAUGGGAAUGAUGUGGGACUUCAAAGGAUAGGUUUUGAAGUUGUUGGACAUUUAGUUUCAGAUUUCCAUCUCCAAAACUCAAAUCUGAAUUGCUCAUUGGUUCAGAGAGGAAAAUGCUUAAUUUGAAAUUCUGUCAUAAACUCUGUGAGAGCAGACAAACUUAGAUGAGCUUAGAAAUAGCUUUGAAUCCCAAAUCUCAAUACCGUUAUACUACUUGAUUAUAGAAGAAAACGGGACCACCUGUCUCUAACAAGGAGAGACGCCUAUUGGAAAUAUCUCAGCAUGUGCGUUCUCAGCCCAUCAUAGAGAACAUGACAUUUAAGCCGUAUGGAUAGUUCUGGUCUCAUGUCAUCUAAACAUCACAUUUUUCAAACUCAGAAAUGCCAGAUCGUGUUAUUUCUGCGGCAAGGCGUUGCUUAGGAUCUGUGACAGAUGAGUUUUCCCUAUCGAUUAUGUGACAAUGCAGUUCAUUUAUAGAGUUCAAGGAAAUGAGAACAGCCUCCAGUUUAACAAGAAGACCCUUAAUUCAAGGGCUGUGUUGUAUUUAAAUGCAGAAAUCAAAAUUCAAGUUGGAGAAAGUGGAAGAGUGAAUUUAACUGUGAACGCGAACUUUUAUAGCUCAGUCAUCCUCCUUGGAGGGCUGCAACUGAUCACUGAAUCUGAUGCCUUCUGAUUAGGUGACUGAUUUGUAAAUAAACCAUGCAAGAAAUCAUAUCUUACAUAGAGAAUUCAUCUUUACAUCAAUGUACACAUUUAAAGUUGCUCCUAAUGUAAAACAUGUAGUGAAUCCAAAAUGUAAAAAACAAAGGGCACCCUAGCGAGUCUAUGUGCAUAUGGGGAGGAGGGGCUGUUAAUAGAGAUACCAACCUGAAAACACUUUGAAAGAACUUUCCAGAUUUAUCUUAAAUUCUGAAAUGAUUUAAUAUGCACAUGUUCUUCCAAUGUAUCCACAGGGUACAGACAGGCAUGCAGAAGUAACUAGACGUCCAACACAUGCCAAGGUCUUGCGGGCCCAGGAUUUCGAACAAAAGAAAACUCGGUAACGUGACUGUAAAUCAAGGGCAUUUGAGACCAUAGACGCGCGCACCACUGCAAGGGUUAAUUGGAGGAGAGGGAAGAGAGAGGCUCCACCUUGCAGUCUGUGUGAACUUCGGCCAGAAAAAGAGCUGGAGCUCCAGCCGCCGCCGGUGGGAGCCCUGCAGUCCGCGGCACGCGGUCCCUUGUUGUGGGGCAGGUGUGGCGCCGGGUAGAGGCGGGGCGCAACCUGGAAACUGCCGCCUGAGCUGUGGCCCGCGCCCUGCCUACCCUUUGGCGCAUCUGUUUCUUUAUUGCCUGAAAGCCAUCCGACGCGUUGAAGGCGCGAUUAUCGACAAUUUGUCAGCCCGAUUUUGUCGCUUGCAAUAACUUUUGGUGAAGUUUCACUCUCAGGCCCUUGAGUUUCGGGAUGAGGAAAUGUGGUAUGAGAGCAUUGUCCUGUGUUUGGCUUCUCAUUUCCACAGGACCCAGGCAGGCAGAAGAAGGGAAAAGAAAGUUAAUCCGACUGCAGUCACUCUGGCACACAAGCCAUGGGGAAACGGGAGAGAAACUUGUUCCUUCUCCUACAAAACUCUCCCCUUCCCCCUCAAGCCCCUCCCCCCACCAGGUCCUUUUUAAUAGAUCAGUCCCUCAUCUCCCCCCCCCUCCACACACGUAUUCUUGGGCCCACAAUUCUCUUGAGCAACCUAGGACUGAGUUUUUGUGUUUUGUUUGUUUUGCUUGCUUUUUCCUUUGUGUUUGUGGAUGUGGAUUGUUUUUCAGGGACCAGGGGCCAGGACCGCAGCUCUAAACCUGAACCCUUCACCUUCAUGAUCCCUUUCUUCCCCUCUUCUUGAUUGGUGGCUGUCGUGGCCAAGACCAUGCCCUUUCCUGAGCAUGGAGCAGUGGGGCAGCUGCUCUGAAGCAGCUGCUGUGCCUUACCCCUCUUUUCUCAAUCAUUAAAAUUCAAUUUCAAAAUUUCUGUCUUUAACAAUUUCCUAAGGAGACUAUGAAGAAUGCCAAAAGAGUGGGCCUUUUUUCAAGUGGUCAUGUUUCAGCAAAAGGCAGGCACAGUCCAAGUUGCCCUAGGUUGUGCCCUUAUAGGAGCAGGGCAGUGGAUGUUGUGUAAAAUGGAGUGCUGUGCCCACCUUGAACGAGAGACGAGCUCUGGCAGGUCAAGAACCUGGGGAGAGCAACUCCAGCUUUUCCAUCCACAUCACCCCUGCAGCUUGAUGGAGCACAGCACCAAGCAGGAAGUUCUCAUUUUUUUUUUUUUUUUUAAUGUCCACACCCAUGACAUACAGAAGUUUCUGGCCCAGGGAUUGAAUCUAAGUUUCAGCUAUGACCUAUGUGGCAGCUAUAGCAAUGCCAGAUCCCUUAACCCGCUGCACCAAGCUGGGGAUCAAACCCUCACCUCUGCAGCAACCCAAGCUGCUGCAGUUAGAUUUUUAACCCACUGCACCACAGCUGGAACUCUGGGGAAGUUCUCUUUAAUAGUUCCUCACUUUCUUCCUUGAUCCAAAAAGAAAAAUAUUUGUAUUCGGAAAGUUCUCUUCUGCUAAGAAGUUUCUAUUAACAUCUCUUUCUCCUUUCAGUGAAGUCUGUUUCUGGGUCAAGGGGAGUGUUUUAAGAAACAGAAAAAUAGAGACACACACAUAACUGCAAUAGGUAGCUGAACUUCAUCAGGAGCCUUGAGUAGCCAAGAAAACAUUCUUCUGAUGCAACUUCAGAGUUUCAUCCCCUGCUCCAAAAUUUAUCAUGUAAUUAGUACCCAAAAUGCCUCCUUUAACCAACACCCAUUGCAACCUAUGGAAAAGAUGUAGCAUUUUUUUUUUGAAAUUCUAGAUGGACCUAAGGAUUACCUGACUCCUAUUGCCAUCACCUCUUAAUCACACAAAACUGUUUUCCUAAACACCAACCUUUUUCCCUAUAAAAACCACUGACCCCUCAGUAUACCUAGUACCUUUUUUCCUCCCUUUAAAUUAUUAUUCCUUACUCUUUUCCGUUCUGGGGCCCUGAGCCAGAUUCUCAGAAUUAAUCCUGAGUUCUCCCAAAUGCCAUGACAAGUUAGAAGGGAAAUUGGGGGACUGCACUGAAAAUACAUGGUAUAGAGAGUAAAUGUUACAGCUGUUGACAAGUGGCAGUUUGGGGUAUCAGCAAUGAAUUCCACAUUUUUCUAUAGGCUUCUUUUUACUUCACUUUAGGAUCCACUGAUCCUAAUAGAAACAAGUUAAAACUGCAGUUCCCUUCGUGGCGCAGUGGUUAACGAAUCCGACUAGUAACCAUGAGGUUGUGGGUUUGAUCCCUGGCCUUGCUCAGUGGGUUAAGGAUCCGGCGUUGCUGUGAGCUGUGGUGUAGGCCGGUGGCUGCAGCUCCGAUUAGACCCCUAGCUUGGGAAUCUCCAUAUGCCCCUGGAGCAGCCAUAGAAAAGGCAAAAAGAC